This 2478-nucleotide ribosomal RNA is filed under the name Triticum aestivum (bread wheat). Its description in RNAcentral is "partial small subunit ribosomal RNA". The record is from RNAcentral. Lineage: Eukaryota; Viridiplantae; Streptophyta; Magnoliopsida; Poales; Poaceae.
AUGGAUCCCCCGCCGCUGCCGCGCAUCAACGAGGACUACUCGGCCAACACCCCGCCCAGCCGCCGCUUCCACGUCCCCAACGUCCUCCUCCCCGACGUCGACUCCCGCGCGCUCCACCUCUCCAAGCCCAAGACCGUCGGCGGCGCCUCCACCGUCGCGCUCUCCUCCGACCUCGACGUCGUCGUCAAGCACGAUCCCUUCGAGCUGACCGUCCGCCGAGCUGGCUCGGGCGACCCCGUGCUCUCCUUCAACUCCCACGGCCUCUUCGACUUCGAGCCGCUGCAGGAGUCAAAGCCCGAGGGCGAUACCUGGGAGGAGCAGUUCAGGAGCCACACCGACACGCGCCCCCGCGGCCCGCAGUCGAUCACCUUCGACGUCUCCUUCUAUGGUGCCGACUUCGUGUAUGGCCUCCCCGAGCACGGCUCCACAUCGCUCGCCCUCCGCCCCACACGCGGCCCGGGGGUUGAGGAGUCGGAACCUUACCGCCUCUUCAACCUCGAUGUGUUCGAGUAUCUCCACGACUCGCCCUUUGGGCUGUAUGGGUCGAUCCCCUUCAUGAUUGCACAUGGCGCAAGUGCAUCUUCAGGAUUCUUCUGGCUUAAUGCCGCGGAGAUGCAGAUUGAUGUGCUUGCACCAGGGUGGGAUAGCGCGGCCUUGAUGGAGAAUGGGAGAAUUGACACGCUGUGGAUGGCUGAGGCUGGUGUGGUUGAUGCGUUCUUCUUUGUUGGUUCCGAGCCGAAGGAUGUGAUCAAGCAGUACAUUAGUGUUACAGGUACGCCCUCCAUGCCGCAGCAGUUUGCAGUGGCAUAUCACCAGUGCCGGUGGAACUACAGGGACGAGGAGGAUGUUGCUGGAGUGGAUGCUGGAUUUGAUGAGCAUGAUAUUCCAUAUGACGUGCUCUGGCUCGACAUUGAACACACUGAUGGCAAGCGAUAUUUCACAUGGGACCGUUCCACAUUCCCGGAUCCAGAGGAGAUGCAGCGGAAGAUAGCAGAUAAGGGGAGGAAGAUGGUAACUAUUGUAGACCCACAUAUGAAGAGGGACAGUGGGUACCACAUCCAUGAGGAAGCUACUGCCAAAGGUUACUAUGUUAAAGAUGCAAGCGGGAAGGACUACGAUGGGUGGUGCUGGCCUGGGUCAUCAUCAUAUCCUGACAUGUUGAAUCCUGAAAUACGGGACUGGUGGGCUGACAAGUUCUCCUAUCAAAACUACAAGGGAUCAACUCCAACGCUGUACAUUUGGAACGACAUGAACGAGCCAUCAGUUUUCAACGGCCCUGAGGUCACCAUGCCUAGGGAUGCAUUACAUAACGGUGAUGUUGAACAUCGAGAACUGCACAAUGCAUAUGGGUACUACUUCCAUAUGGCUACAUCAGAUGGGCUUCUCAAGCGAGGUGAGGGUAAAGACAGGCCCUUUGUUUUGUCAAGGGCCUUCUUUGCUGGAAGUCAACGGUAUGGGGCAGUUUGGACUGGUGACAACACUGCAGAUUGGGAUCACCUUAAAUCCUCUAUUCCGAUGGUUUUAACUCUUGGUCUUACUGGCAUGACCUUCUCUGGUGCGGAUGUUGGUGGAUUCUUUGGCAAUCCUGAGCCUGACCUAUUGGUGCGUUGGUACCAAGUAGGAGCUUUUUAUCCUUUCUUUAGAGGUCAUGCUCACCAUGACACCAAGAGGCGGGAGCCAUGGUUAUUUGGAGAGCGAAGAACUGCCCUCAUGAGGGAGGCAAUACAUAUGCGGUAUUCAUUGUUGCCCUACUAUUACUCUCUGUUCCAAGAGGCUAGUGUAACUGGUGUUCCUGUUAUGCGUCCUUUGUGGUUGGAAUUUCCUGACGACAAGGAAACAUAUAAUAAUGGUGAGGCUUUUAUGGUUGGGCCAAGCAUUUUGGCCCAAGGAAUUUACGAAGAGGGCCAGAAAUCAGUGUCGGUUUACCUUCCUGGAACGGAGUUAUGGUAUGACUUGAGAAAUGGAUCUCCAUACAAGGGAAGUGUGUCACACAAGCUGCAAGUUUCAGAAGAUAGCAUACCAAGCUUCCAAAGGUCCGGCACAAUUGUGCCAAGAAAGGAUAGAUUCAGGCGCAGUUCUACUCAGAUGGUGAACGAUCCAUACACCCUGGUGAUAGCCCUCAAUAGCUCUGGUUCUGCAGAAGGUGAACUUUAUGUGGAUGAUGGGAAAACUUAUGAUUAUCAGCAAGGGGCAUUCAUCCAUCGGCGUUUUGUAUUUGCAGACAAUAAACUAACUUCGAUCAAUAUUGCGCCUGAUAGUCUGGGCAAGAAGGUAUAUUCAACUGAGUGUGUGAUUGAACGAAUUAUAGUGCUUGGGUUAUCAUCGGGAGCAAAGAAGGCUAUCAUUGAACCUGGGAACCAAGAAGUGGAAAUUGAUCUGGGACCGAUUAGUUUAAGGAGUGGUUCAAAGUCUGUUGCGCCAACAGUCAGGAGGCCCAAUGUUCGUGUUGUAGAUGAUUGGACGAUAAGGAUUGCAUGA